This 468-nucleotide ribosomal RNA is filed under the name uncultured bacterium. RNAcentral's name for it is "partial 16S ribosomal RNA". It matches the Rfam family "Bacterial small subunit ribosomal RNA", at positions 28 to 507 of the family's 1533-position model. The record is from RNAcentral.
GACGAACGCUGGCGGCGUGCUUAACACAUGCAAGUCGAACGGAAAGGCCCUGCUUUUGUGGGGUUCUCGAGUGGCGAACGGGUGUGUAACCCGUGAGUAACCUGCCCUUGACUUUGGGAUAACUUCAGGAAACCGGGGCUAAUACCGGAUAGGAGCUCCUGCUGCAUGGUGGGGGUUGGAAAGUUUCGGCGGUUGGGGAUGGACUCGCGGCUUAUCAGCUUGUUGGUGGGGUAGUGGCUUACCAAGGCUUUGACGGGUAGCCGGCCUGAGAGGGUGACCGGCCACAUUGGGACUGAGAUACGGCCCAGACUCCUACGGGAGGCAGCAGUGGGGAAUAUUGCACAAUGGGCGGAAGCCUGAUGCAGCAACGCCGCGUGCGGGAUGACGGCCUUCGGGUUGUAAACCGCUUUCGCCUGUGACGAAGCGUGAGUGACGGUAAUGGGUAAAGAAGCACCGGCUAACUACGUG